Molecule: long non-coding RNA, 744 nt
Organism: Daphnia pulicaria
Lineage: Eukaryota; Metazoa; Arthropoda; Branchiopoda; Diplostraca; Daphniidae
Exons: 5
Source: RefSeq, a predicted model, not a curated record
UUUCGGUUGGUCGUCAUGCCUUUUUCAUCCAUCUAUCGGUGUCAGUGGAGAAUCUUUAGGCUGUCGGUAGGUGGCUAAAAUGGAUUGUCCCCCAGCCACCAGGUGACGCGAAUGCCGUUCUGAGGAUGACGCUUCCGAGACACACAUAGCAGACGCCAACCCAUCAAGCGUCAUCAAUAGCGUGGUCUACUAUGGUGCAACGCUAUCGCUGGAGUAAGGCGUUUAUCUUCAAUUCGGGUAGCGUCAUGAUUGGCCUACCCUGAUGGCGUCAUGAUCGCUGCUGAUUGCCUUUCAAAAUGGUUUUCAGCAUUCUGCUUACACCUUUGGCAUAGAGUCACGCUGAGAUCAGUGUCGGAGAUGAUGGUUACGAACAACCCAUGGAAAGCUUAUCUUUCAUUGAUGCUGUGAUGCCUGAUGUUGUUACAAGUCGUCAACAGCAAAUGCAGAACAAUCAAAAACCACAAGUGGUAAAGACAGAACCACCAAAUUCCAAUGGAGAUGAACCCAUGCAUUCAUAUCGUGUGUUACAGUGGCCCACAGCUAAAGGAGCAGCAGCAGCGAUUUCUACUCAAUUUAGUGAGACGUUGGCCUCACUCUGGCCAACCAGAACAGCUGGCUUUGCUGGCCCCCCUCCUUGGGGGUGCGUUGGGAGGUGAAUAUAAUCAUCCUGUAAAAAAAAAUAGAAUUUGCCUCCCCUUGUUCCACGUGAAUACAAUUUUCAAGGUUGUCGGUGUCAAUCAUGAU